UUUUGCUCAAGAAAUGAUUUAAUUUAUUAAUGUUUUAUAAAAUUUGCAUAAAUAUAAAGUAAUAUGAAAAAAAAACAGAAUUUUAAACAAGCAUUGAGGAUACAGUCUAGUGAUAGAUGAUUUUGUCUUCACAGCUCAAGCAUUAGUUUUGUAUGUACACAUCUAUUAACAUUUUCUAAUUCAACACUCAUCAACAUCACAUUUACUAGGCAUAUCAACGCUCAUCAACCAUCACAUUUUUAUGUAAAUUGAACAAAACAUGCAAUAUUUGUUUGUUUGCAGCCUUUCUCUUGCAACACUUGCACAGACUGGAGGACCAGAGAUCUAAGCAGAAAUGCAUUAACAACACAUUUUGAUAUUCUACAGAAUAAGAUACAGAAAACACUUCCCUAAUAUGUCACAUGUGAAAAUAAAAAACCAUAGGUUAGCACCCUAAAACAAAAAUAGUUUUUCCACAACCAUUGAAAACAAAUUUACAAAUGCAAAUGUUUUGUUUUUAUAAAUAUCAUCCAGCUCUGUUGAAUUAGGCAAAACAUUAUGAGGACACAAUACAGUCAAUAGUAUACAUGAAGAGAGAGUUGUUAAAGAGUUGAAUGGUCAGUUGAGAAGGGGAAAAGAUGGGAAGUAGUGUAUUGGCAGUGUGAUAUCUGUAUACCUGGGAUUGUACAGUGUGAUAUCUGUAUACCUGGGAUUGUACAGUGUGAUAUCUGUAUACCUGGG
Molecule: non-coding RNA, 720 nt
Organism: Biomphalaria pfeifferi
Lineage: Eukaryota; Metazoa; Mollusca; Gastropoda; Planorbidae
Source: the annotation of a GenBank genome assembly